UUUCUGGUUGCUAAAGUUAUUUGCGGAAGUGAAGGUGGAAUGGUGUGGAAGAGUUCAGGCAAAGAGAGAGAAUGAGUUAUGAGUUACGUAUUAAGAACGCUGAGGAAAAAGCGAGAGGUGGACACAAUCAUUAGAGACACCAUCGACAAGGUCCUCGUCCUACGUUUUGGCUACUCUUCCGACCCCGUCUAUCUCCAUCUCGAUGACGCCCUUUGCAAAUCGGCUCGGGAGGUGUCCAAGUUUGCUAAUGUAGUACUCGUUGAUAUCGAUUCCGACAAAAUUCAAGUUUAUGCCAACUACUUUGACAUUACUUUCAUAUCUUCCACUGUUUUCUUUUUCAAUGCUCAUCACAUGAAGAUGGACUCUGGGUACCUUUUGUUUCAUUCUUAAUGUGAUGUUUCACAAGAAGCAGAACUCCAUUGAUGUUGUAGAGAUAUAUGUAUGGUAGAAGUAUGCAUAAUGCUCUUUAACAUUCUUGCAGGCAAUGUACAGAGGGGCCAUGAAAGGCAUGCUGAUAGUGAGUUGCCCUCUGCCUUCAGAGAGAAUACCGAAGAAUCAAUUGUUGUACAGGGAUGUGUAAAAGGUGAAGUGACCUCAGUAAGACUCGAUGGAGCUUGAAGAUUAUCCUAUACAGUACAUGUUGAUUUGAAAGAAUUCUAAGUGUUUUUUUUCUCUCUCUCUCUGGGGGAAUUUCCGCAGAAAAAAUUGUUAAAGAGAGUGAAAGUUUUUUGCAUUGUAAAUUUCUUUGGUAGAUUUGACAUGAACAAGAAAAAAUAAAUAAAAGAGAGUGAAGUAUUAGAGAAAUUGCAAAGUUUGUUUUGCAUGCUA
This is a long non-coding RNA of Juglans microcarpa x Juglans regia, 828 nucleotides long. RefSeq lists it as uncharacterized. The transcript has 4 exons. NCBI's taxonomy places the organism in Eukaryota, Viridiplantae, Streptophyta, Magnoliopsida, Fagales, Juglandaceae. The record is from RefSeq and is a predicted model, not a curated record.